RNAcentral lists this ribosomal RNA (759 nucleotides) under Enterobacter cloacae. Its description in RNAcentral is "bacterial LSU rRNA". It matches the Rfam family "Bacterial large subunit ribosomal RNA", at positions 2190 to 2925 of the family's 2925-position model. Lineage: Bacteria; Pseudomonadati; Pseudomonadota; Gammaproteobacteria; Enterobacterales; Enterobacteriaceae. The record is from RNAcentral.
CCUUGAAAUACCACCCUUUAAUGGCUGGUGUUCUAACGUAGACCCGUUACCCGGGUUGCGGACAGUGUCUGGUGGGUAGUUUGACUGGGGCGGUCUCCUCCCAAAGAGUAACGGAGGAGCACGAAGGUUGGCUAAUCCUGGUCGGACAUCAGGAGGUUAGUGCAAUGGCAUAAGCCAGCUUGACUGCGAGCGUGACGGCGCGAGCAGGUGCGAAAGCAGGUCAUAGUGAUCCGGUGGUUCUGAAUGGAAGGGCCAUCGCUCAACGGAUAAAAGGUACUCCGGGGAUAACAGGCUGAUACCGCCCAAGAGUUCAUAUCGACGGCGGUGUUUGGCACCUCGAUGUCGGCUCAUCACAUCCUGGGGCUGAAGUAGGUCCCAAGGGUAUGGCUGUUCGCCAUUUAAAGUGGUACGCGAGCUGGGUUUAGAACGUCGUGAGACAGUUCGGUCCCUAUCUGCCGUGGGCGCUGGAGAAUUGAGGGGGGCUGCUCCUAGUACGAGAGGACCGGAGUGGACGCAUCACUGGUGUUCGGGUUGUCAUGCCAAUGGCACUGCCCGGUAGCUAAAUGCGGAAGAGAUAAGUGCUGAAAGCAUCUAAGCACGAAACUUGCCCCGAGAUGAGUUCUCCCUGAGACCUUGAGUCUCCUGAAGGAACGUUGAAGACGACGACGUUGAUAGGUCGGGUGUGUAAGCGCAGCGAUGCGUUGAGCUAACCGAUACUAAUGAACCGUGAGGCUUAACCUUACAACGCCGAAGGUGUUU